This 220-nucleotide ribosomal RNA is filed under the name uncultured bacterium. Its description in RNAcentral is "partial 16S ribosomal RNA". It matches the Rfam family "Bacterial small subunit ribosomal RNA", at positions 57 to 305 of the family's 1533-position model. The record is from RNAcentral.
GCAAGUCGAGCGCUACCUUCGGGUGGAGCGGCGGACGGGUUAGUAACGCGUGGGAAUAUACCCAGCUCUAAGGAAUAGCCUCUGGAAACGGAGAGUAAUACCUUAUACGCCCCUUGGGGGAAAGAUUUAUCGGAGUUGGAUUAGCCCGCGUUAGAUUAGAUAGUUGGUGGGGUAAUGGCCUACCAAGUCUACGAUCUGUAGCUGGCCUGAGAGGGUGGUC